AUUGAACGCUGGCGGCAGGCCUAACACAUGCAAGUCGAACGAGUGGCGGACGGGUGAGUAAUGUCUGGGAAACUGCCCGUUGGAGGGGGAUAACUACUGGAAACGGUAGCUAAUACCGCAUACCAUCGGAUGUGCCCAGAUGGGAUUAGCUAUUAGGUGGGGUAACGGCUCACCUAGGCGACGAUCCCUAGCGGGUCUGCGAGGAUGACCGGCCACACUGGACCUGUGACACGGUCAAGACUCCUACGGACGGAAGCAGUGGGAAAUAUUGCACAAUGGGCGCAGGCCUGAUGCAGCCAUGCCGCGUGUAUGAAGAAGGCCUUCGGGUUGUAAAGUACUUUCAGCGAGGAGGCGUUACUCACAGAAGAAGCACCGGCUAACUCCGUGCCAGCCGCCGCGGUAAUUC
Molecule: ribosomal RNA, 406 nt
Filed under: uncultured bacterium
Lineage: Bacteria
Description: partial 16S ribosomal RNA
Rfam family: Bacterial small subunit ribosomal RNA
Source: RNAcentral